CACAAGCGGAGGAACAUGUGGUUUAAUUCGAUGAUACGCGAGGAACCUUACCUGGGCUUAAAUGGGGAGUGACAGCUGGUCGAAAGAUGGUUUUCUUCGGACACUCUUCAAGGUGCUGCAUGGUUGUCGUCAGCUCGUGCCGUGAGGUGUCGGGUUAAGUCCCAUAACGAGCGCAACCCUUACCGUUAGUUACCAUCAGGUUAAGCUGGGGACUCUAGCGGGACUGCCACCGUAAGGUGAGAGGAAGGUGGGGAUGACGUCAAAUCAGCACGGCCCUUAUGUCCAGGGCUACACACGUGUUACAAUGGCCGGUACAAAGGGCAGCUACUUCGCGAGAAGAUGCUAAUCUCGAAAGCCGGUCUCAGUUCGGAUCGAAGUCUGCAACCCGACUUCGUGAAGCUGGAUUCGCUAGUAAUCGCGCAUCAGCCAUGGCGCGGUGAAUACGUUCCCGGGCCUU
RNAcentral lists this ribosomal RNA (457 nucleotides) under uncultured Sphingobacteriales bacterium. Its description in RNAcentral is "bacterial SSU rRNA". It matches the Rfam family "Bacterial small subunit ribosomal RNA", at positions 924 to 1382 of the family's 1533-position model. The record is from RNAcentral. Lineage: Bacteria; Pseudomonadati; Bacteroidota; Sphingobacteriia; Sphingobacteriales.